RNAcentral lists this ribosomal RNA (204 nucleotides) under uncultured bacterium. Its description in RNAcentral is "partial 16S ribosomal RNA". It matches the Rfam family "Bacterial small subunit ribosomal RNA", at positions 524 to 728 of the family's 1533-position model. The record is from RNAcentral.
UACGUAGGUGGCGAGCGUUACUCGGAAUUACUAGGCGUAAAGCGCGUGUAGGCGGGAGGUUAAGUUCGCUGUUAAAUCUCAUAGCUCAACUAUGAAAUGCCGGCGAAUACUGGCCUUCUUGAAUUCGGUAGAGGAAACUGGAAUUCCAGGUGUAGCGGUGAAAUGCGUAGAGAUGUGGAGGAACACCGAUGGCGAAGGCAGCCC